RNAcentral lists this ribosomal RNA (497 nucleotides) under uncultured bacterium. Its description in RNAcentral is "partial 16S ribosomal RNA". It matches the Rfam family "Bacterial small subunit ribosomal RNA", at positions 28 to 507 of the family's 1533-position model. The record is from RNAcentral.
GAUGAACGCUGGCGGCGUGCCUAAUACAUGCAAGUCGAGCGAACGGACGAGAAGCUUGCUUCUCUGAUGUUAGCGGCGGACGGGUGAGUAACACGUGGAUAACCUACCUAUAAGACUGGGAUAACUUCGGGAAACCGGAGCUAAUACCGGAUAAUAUUUUGAACCGCAUGGUUCAAAAGUGAAAGACGGUCUUGCUGUCACUUAUAGAUGGAUCUCAGCUGCAUUAGCUAGUUGGUAAGGUAACGGCUUACCAAGGCAACGAUGCAUAGCCGACCUGAGAGAGGGAUCGGCCACACUGGAACGUAGCCAGGGUCAAGACUCCUACGGUAGGCAGCAGUAGGGAAUGGUCCGCAAUGGGCGAAAGCCUGACGGAGCAGGGCCGCGUGAGUGAUGAAGGUCUUCGGAUCGUAAAACUCUGUUAUUAGGGAAGAACAGAUGUGUAAGUAGCUGUGCACAGCUUGACGGUACCUGAUCAGAAAGCCACGGCUAACUACGUG